UACGAAGGGGGCUAGCGUUGUUCGGAAUUACUGGGCGUAAAGCGUGCGCAGGCGGUUUUGCAAGUCUGUUGUGAAAUCCCCGGGCUCAACCUGGGAAUGGCAAUGGAGACUGCAAGGCUAGAGUUUGGCAGAGGGGGGUAGAAUUCCACGUGUAGCAGUGAAAUGCGUAGAUAUGUGGAGGAACACCGAUGGCGAAGGCAGCCCCCUGGGUCAAAACUGACGCUCAUGCACGAAAGCGUGGGGAGCAAACAGG
This 253-nucleotide ribosomal RNA is filed under the name uncultured bacterium. RNAcentral's name for it is "partial 16S ribosomal RNA". It matches the Rfam family "Bacterial small subunit ribosomal RNA", at positions 524 to 776 of the family's 1533-position model. The record is from RNAcentral.